UAGACACAUCUCUAUAUUUAUAUAUUAGACGGGUCAGGGAGGUGGCAGGGGCGCCGGGCUCUCCACGCCCCCCAGCUCCACUUCUGCUCACCACACACAGAAGCAGCGAGGGCACGCGAAGUGACAGCUUUGACAGGGAGGGGAUUCGGCCCGGCCUGGCUCCUCAGGGAUGCUAGCCCUUGAGACUAAGGAAUGUUCCUUCAGGGAAACUAGGGUGGGGUUUGAAUGAGAUGAGGGGGGCAGGCAUGGCCCUGAGUCCCUACUCAGCGCCCCCCACCCUCCACCUCUGCCCUUCAGCAGGUUGGGGCAGCCAGAACCCUUCCAUUCCAGAACUGCCAGAGACUGGGACGCUGGGGAAGGUAAGGGCGCAGCAGCAGCAGCGGGAGAUUGAACU
Molecule: long non-coding RNA, 394 nt
Filed under: Homo sapiens (human)
Lineage: Eukaryota; Metazoa; Chordata; Mammalia; Primates; Hominidae
Description: non-protein coding lnc-PPP4C-12:1
Source: RNAcentral